Non-coding RNA from Puma concolor (puma), 579 nucleotides. NCBI's taxonomy places the organism in Eukaryota, Metazoa, Chordata, Mammalia, Carnivora, Felidae. The record is from RefSeq and is a predicted model, not a curated record.
GACGAUGUUCGGUGUGAGCUAAGACCACAGCGAUGAGGAGGGCCAAAAUCACACCGGGCCACCGGGCCACACAGAGAACGAUGCCCUCUUCUCCAUUGCACGCAACUGAACCAACAUGGCUGGCAUUCCAGGCUUCCAGACAAGGAUAUAACAAAGAGUUCGUGGUUUCUAGAAGGUUCUCAGAGUGGCAAGGUCUACCUUAGAAUAUGCCGACACCAUUAAGAUCCUUUUUUGGUGAAACGUUUCCAGUGAUACUCAGAUGCCACUGUUCAGAAAGAGCCCGGCAGGAGCGAGCGAAAGCAGAUUCCUCCUCCGAAGAGAGCCCAGGCAACAAAGGGAGGCUGGAUGGUUCUCCCAGCAAGCCAGGCUGUAGGAGAUGAUUAGUCUCCCCUGCGUGGUUGUGUGGACCGACAACACGCCCUGGACCUGGGAGAAACUGAGACUCCAAAAAGCGAAGAAUGUGUUGUGCCUCCUUGUCCCGACAGAACUCUUACAAAUAAAGCAGGAGGAAAUGAUGCGAGGCCGUGUGUAAUGAACAUGUAAUUAGAACAUCAGAAUCCAAAUUUGCGUGUAUGUACU